UACGGAGGAUGCGAGCGUUAUCCGGAUUUAUUGGGUUUAAAGGGUGCGUAGGCGGACUGUCAAGUCAGCGGUAAAAUACGGGGGCUCAACCUCCGCCCGCCGUUGAAACUGCCAGGCUAGAGUAUGGGAGAGGUAGGUGGAAUUCUUGGUGUAGGGGUAAAAUCCGUAGAGAUCAAGAGGAAUACUCAUUGCGAAGGCGACCUGCUAGAACAUAACUGACGCUGAUGCGCGAAAGCGUGGGGAGCAAACAGG
RNAcentral lists this ribosomal RNA (252 nucleotides) under uncultured bacterium. Its description in RNAcentral is "partial 16S ribosomal RNA". It matches the Rfam family "Bacterial small subunit ribosomal RNA", at positions 524 to 776 of the family's 1533-position model. The record is from RNAcentral.